CAGCAGCCGCGGGAAUACGAAGGGGGCUAGCGUUGCUCGGAAUCACUGGGCGUAAAGCGCACGUAGGCGGAUAUUAAGUCAGGGGUGAAAUCCCAGAGCUCAACUCUGGAACUGCCUUUGAUACUGGGUAUCUUGAGUAUGGAAGAGGUGAGUGGAAUUCCGAGUGUAGAGGUGAAAUUCGUAGAUAUUCGGAGGAACACCAGUGGCGAAGGCGGCUCACUGGUCCAUUACUGACGCUGAGGUGCGAAAGCGUGGGGAGCAAACAGGAUUAGAUACCCCUGUAGUCCCUGUCUCUUAUACA
Molecule: ribosomal RNA, 301 nt
Filed under: uncultured bacterium
Lineage: Bacteria
Description: partial 16S ribosomal RNA
Rfam family: Bacterial small subunit ribosomal RNA
Source: RNAcentral